This 301-nucleotide ribosomal RNA is filed under the name uncultured bacterium. Its description in RNAcentral is "partial 16S ribosomal RNA". It matches the Rfam family "Bacterial small subunit ribosomal RNA", at positions 509 to 807 of the family's 1533-position model. The record is from RNAcentral.
CAGCAGCCGCGGGAAUACGAAGGGUGCAAGCGUUAAUCGGAGUUACUGGGCGUAAAGGGUGCGUAGGCGGUUGUUUAAGUCUGUUGUGAAAUCCCCGGGCUCAACCUGGGAAUGGCAAUGGAAACUGGACGGCUAGAGUGUGUCAGAGGAUGGUGGAAUUCCCGGUGUAGCGGUGAAAUGCGUAGAGAUCGGGAGGAACAUCAGUGGCGAAGGCGGCCAUCUGGGACAACACUGACGCUGAAGCACGAAAGCGUGGGGAGCAAACAGGAUUAGAUACCCGCGUAGUCCCUGUCUCUUAUAC